Pan troglodytes (chimpanzee) is the source of this 1860-nucleotide long non-coding RNA. The record is from Ensembl. Lineage: Eukaryota; Metazoa; Chordata; Mammalia; Primates; Hominidae.
CCAGCCAUUGGUUCCAUUGGGGUUUUGACAAGACUAUUUCUGGGAAAAGCCUACCAUAUUAUUGUCUCAGCUGCUACAGACAUUAUGAAGUUAUAACAAUAUUAAUAGCAUUUUACAGACUUCUUGUUUGUAGACUAGGGGAGAUAUGUUAGCCUUUGCAGAGGAGGGGAGGAAAUUGAAAAGAUGAGUCAGAGCCAGAUGAGAAAAGGGUUGGGAUGCAAUGACAAGAAAUUUUGACUUUAUGUAGGAUUAUUCAGAGAAGAAAAGAGGAGGAAGUGAAAUGCUAAGACUGAUUUUUUUUUUUAAAAGAUAGAUUUGAUAGCAUGAGAAGAAUGGAUUUGAAAGGCGAUAAUGGAAAGGAUGCAGAGGCACCAAUUUGGAAUUUACUGUGAUGUUUUAGGCAAUAGAUGUGUUGUUAACAAUUCAUGGCGUGUGUUUCUGUGUCGGAGGCAGGAGGGAGCUGAAAAGAUGCAGUUUUAUCUCCAAAGGAAAGGUGGCCCUGAUGCCUGUAUUAAAAACAACAACAACAACAGCAACAUAGGUGAUUCUUAUGGGCAUCAGGAUUGAAAACCACUGGACCAUUGCUUUUAGAGAUGGUGCCAUGGCCAGAGACAAAGGUCCACUAUCCAUUGGUUGAUUUCCAUUCUUCUGUGGAGGAUCCUGCUGGUGAGUUCCUAUUACAAAAUUGAAAUGGUAAUCUCUGGGAGUUAAGGUUGCAAACAGGUAAGAACAGUUUUUUCUACAUUUUUAUUCCACAUACUCUUCCUCUCCUAACCUCCUCCCAUAACAUUGGCUAACUUAUCUAUUUUGCCUUGCCUCUUCCCAUCUGAAUAUUUGCAAGCAAACAUAUAACAAUGGCUCUAAGUGGUGCUAAUUGGCUUGAGUCAAAUGUAAGAUUUUCAGAAAUUUUGUGAAGUAGUUGUUAAACACAAUGAUUAUAUUUAUUUAUUUAUUUUUUGAAACAUCCUUUUGCUCUUGUUGCCCAGGCUGGAGUGCGAUGGUGCGAUCUCAGUUCACAGCAACCUCUGCCUCCUGGGUUCAAGCGAUUCUCCUCCCUCAGCCUCCCAAGUAGCUGGGAUUACAGGCACAUGCCACCACGCCUGGCUAAUUUUGUAUUUUUAGUAGAGACGGGGUUUCUCCAUGUUGGUCAGGCUGGUCUCGAACUCCCGACCUCAGGUGAUCCACCCGCCUCGGCCUCCCAAAGUGCUGGGGUUACAGGCAUGAGCCACCACCCCCGGCCAACACAAUCAUUGUUAAAAAAUUAAAAUAUAUAAAACAAUUAAUUUAUAUUAAUAUAAAAUAACUCAACAUUCAAAACUUAUUACUUCCUAAUUCCUUUAUCACUUUUAACUAUUAUCUCUGCUCUUGAGGUUAUAUAUCAAUUGUCUGGUGAAAGAGAUAUUCUUUGCAUCUCUUUCAAACUUGGCCCUCAGAGACUUCAUGUUGGUAGCUUGAAAUCAGCCAGGUGGGAGUCUUUAUACUACAGCAAUCAGCAAAUGGUGCAAAUCAGGGCUUGAUUUAAUGUUUUGUUGAUUGCCUACAUUUUAGAAAUGAUGGAGAAAAUGUUAAAUGCUGAAUAAACUUAAAAGUGUGUCCUGUCUGUGGCAAUGAUAUUGCGAAUAGCAUAAAAAACAUGAAGAAAUUUCUGCCAGUAUUUACAAACUGUUAUCUAAUUUAGCAAAGAAGUCACUCACUUUAUUGAUGAAUGAGUGAAUUUCUAGCACAUGGCUUAUUUCACUUUCAUCUUAUUCCUUAAUGUAAACAAAAUUAUCAACCAACAUUUUGUCAUAACUACACUCAUUUCUUAAUGAUGUGAGUGAUUUCCGUGCUGAAUUGGAUAGUAAUCAAGCAUAUAUUCAU